Molecule: ribosomal RNA, 440 nt
Filed under: uncultured bacterium
Lineage: Bacteria
Description: bacterial SSU rRNA
Rfam family: Bacterial small subunit ribosomal RNA
Source: RNAcentral
CCUACGGGAGGCAGCAGUGGGGAAUAUUGCACAAUGGGGGAAACCCUGAUGCAGCAACGCCGCGUGAGCGAAGAAGGCCUUCGGGUCGUAAAGCUCUGUCCUAAGGGAAGAAGCAUGACGGUACCUUAGGAGGAAGCCCCGGCUAACUACGUGCAAGCAGCCGCGGUAAUACGUAGGGGACGAGCGUUAAACGAAAUCACUUGACGUAAGGGGUGCGUAGGCGGCCCAUUAAGCCAGAGGUGAAAGGCUUCGGCUGAACCGGAGUAAGCCUUUGGAACGGAAUGGCUUGAGUGCAGGAGAGGAGAGUGGAAUUCCUAGUGUAGCGGUGAAAUGCGUAGAUAUUAGGAGGAUCACCAGUGGCGAAGGCGACUCUUUGGACUGUAACUGACGCUGAGGCACGAAAGCGUGGGGAGCAAACAGGAUUAGAUACCCUAGUAGUC